Molecule: ribosomal RNA, 429 nt
Filed under: uncultured bacterium
Lineage: Bacteria
Description: bacterial SSU rRNA
Rfam family: Bacterial small subunit ribosomal RNA
Source: RNAcentral
UAACGAAUCUUCCGCAAUGCACGAAAGUGUGACGGAGCGACGCCGCGUGGAGGACGAAGUUCUUCGGAAUGUAAACUCCUGUCAGGGGAAAGAAAGUUCUGAUCUACCCCAGAGGAAGAGGCGGCUAACUCUGUGCCAGCAGCCGCGGUAAUACAGAGGCCUCGAGCGUUAGACGGAAUCACUGGGCUUAAAGCGUGUGUAGGCGGAAGGGUAAGUACCUUGUGAAAUCCCACGGCUUAACCGUGGAACGGCUUGGUAUACUGCUUUUCUUGAGCAAUCUAGGGGCGAGUGGAACAGAUGGUGGAGCGGUGAAAUGCGUAGAUAUCAUCUGGAACGCCAAUGGUGAAGACAACUCGCUGGGGAUUUGCUGACGCUGAGACACGAAAGCCAGGGGAGCGAACGGGAUUAGAUACCCAGGUAGUCCCUGAG